UUGAUUACUGAAGUUCGAGAGCAAGAGGUGUCAAAAGCAAAUAUGGGAGCAUGAGCUGGAAGCUUAUAGUAAACCCUGAAGACUGUAAAAGGAAGCUAAUUGAAAGAUAUACUCCCUGCUAAUUAUCCUUUUCUAAGUCGAUCAAUCUCCUCUCUUGCAAUUCUUAGCAUUAAAAGUGCCUAAAGCACUAUAUAGGCUUGCUAGAACUCUCCUCUGUUUUGGCUCCAGCAGCAGUUGGUUGGGUAGUGUAGCACUGUGUAAAAUUCUAGCAUCAUUGACUAGAAAGACUGCAAAAAUCGAUUCUCAUACGCUGAGGAAACAACAAAUUUAAGCGGGUUUGAGGUAAUUUUCUUGUCAAUAGCUUUUGUAAUAUAAAAUUUAGUACCAAAUGUGGUAUAGUAUAAUUGGGAAAUCGUUUAAACUGUGAUGGUAUAAAUUAGAAAAGGAUCUUAGUUGUUGUGCAGAGCAAUAAGAAGGAGAAUUAUGGCAUAAGAAUGUAUACAAACCUCUCUGACCUCUAUUUUAAAAGUGGACGCGCACAAGAUGUUUGUUAAUAGUCCUAAUAGGGACUGUUUGCUCAAAUGAUGAAAUUGAGUAGAAAUUGAUGCUAAGAAUAAGUGUAAGAACAUUAUAUGUAGAUAAUUAAAUGAAGUUGAAUUAAGUGGGAAACCUAUUUUAAGAAAAAUAAUAUGUUAAUGUUAAUUUAUAAACUGUUUUGGUAAAGUACUUUUAACAUUCUAUAAAACUUACUUAGAACAUUAUAU
This 764-nucleotide long non-coding RNA is filed under the name Panax ginseng (ginseng). RNAcentral's name for it is "long non-coding RNA (PGIN_LNC004459)". Lineage: Eukaryota; Viridiplantae; Streptophyta; Magnoliopsida; Apiales; Araliaceae. The record is from RNAcentral.